Molecule: non-coding RNA, 1714 nt
Organism: Equus caballus (horse)
Lineage: Eukaryota; Metazoa; Chordata; Mammalia; Perissodactyla; Equidae
Source: RefSeq, a predicted model, not a curated record
CUUAAAUCUGCUGGGGACUAAUAUGGAGGCGCCAAAGGGAUUUCAAAAAAAUAAGAUUUAUAUUGUGGCUCAGAAGCAUCCACUAUGGUCAAACCUGACUCAUUCUUCUUCUUUCUGUGAAAAGAAGCUUACAGUGAAUGUGGACCCAAGUGACAAACAAGACUUGACAGAUCAUCAGUCUGUACCCUGAAUAGAUUUUUUUUCCGUAUGAUAAUCCUGCAAAGUCUAGUGCAAGCCUGGUGUCCUGGUGUUAGAGGGACAGAAAUGUUAGAAUUGAGGGAAAAACAAAUCUGUCGUUGUUGAAGGAACAUCACUAGGAUCUCAAACCCAGAACCCACAGCUUGGGGAGGAGACGAUAGGAAUUUUAAAAUAACUCGCUGAAUAUUUUUAAAAGGAUUUUAGGAGUAAAAACUUAGAGUAGGUGUGUGGCCAUUCUACAUUUAGCCUAAAAAUUCGUAAAGAAAUAGGAAAAAGUGAAUCAUAGAAAGAAGCCAGAAGAAAUUGAUCUCAAAUUCAUCUCUAGGAUCACCUGAGGACCAGUGUCAUAGACAUCUUCCUUAUUUAAAUCGUCCUGGAGAGCAAGUCACACAAACUCCUUCAGUUGCUCCCUGCAAUAUUGAGCGACUAUUACUGUCAGAAAGUUCUUCCUUAUGUGUAACCUCAUGUCUCAUGGUGCGUGUUAAAAACCAUUCUCUCUUGCAUAGUUUUCACUGGAGAUAAAAUCAGCUAGAUCCCAACCUCCAUGGGAUAAGGAGAAAGAACUGAAGAGAAAACAAAGUUUAAAUGAUGUUGCGAGUACAUUUCGAUUAAGUGUGAACUUACUCAAAGCAUUCUUGGUAACAUCCUUGAUGAUGGAUUUAGACCAUAGGAUUUGCUAUGUCUCAAGACAGAGCUGGGUGUCUGACCACCACUUCACGGACUUGUGUAUAAGCCAGCAACCUCAAAGGCUGUGCAGUAAGUGAUACCUUCACAGAAUCCAUUCAGUCAAUGUGAACUUUUAUGUAUUUAAUACCAUUCAAAAAACAAAAAGCCAUUCAAAUAACGAAAUGAGAAUGUUUAAUUGGAAACAUGCAAUUAUUCUCAUGCUCAAUCCCUAUUAUAUAAAAGAAGCAGGGAGUAAGAUGUGCUAAGAGGGUGGGCUUGGGGUUUGUCAAAGUCUUGAACUUUUUUUAACAUAGGCGAUAUCAUAAAUAAAGGGGAAAAAAAGAAAACAGUCGCGUGCAGCAGUUGGGUCCGGGUUCUGGAAUGGCCUUGUCUGUAUGCUAACCCUGCAUGUGGAUAAGUGCUUUGCAUCUGCUGCCAUCUCACCAGCACAUUCAGAAGAGGAACAGCACUGUCUGCAGAGUGUUUCAGUUCCCGCAGAAAACACCACAUAAAUAGACGAUGGAGAGGCCUCCAUGGCAAUGAAUGCCGGCAGGCUCAAGGAGCUGAGAGCAGACUCUGCUGACAACCAGCCAGAAGAUGGGAGCCUCUGUCUUAGGACUGCAAGGAACUGAAUUCGGCCAACUGACCAGGAAGAAAAUUCUUCUCCAGAGCCUCUAGAUGAGGACGCAGGCUGGCCAGCUUGGUGAUCUUAGGCUUGUGAUACUCUGAACGGAGAACCCAGUCGCAUUGUGCUGAACUUCCGAAAUACAGAACUGUGGCAUAAUAAACGGGUAUUGUUUUAAGGGGCCAAAUUUAUGGUAAUUUGUUGUAUAGCAAUAGAAAACUAAUA